CUACAAUCCCAUAUAUGUAUAUCUACUUCUUCCUUUCGUAUUUUAUUUGUCAAUGUUUGGUGGACAUACACGGUAUCUACAGUACAAAUCUACCGCCGAAUUUCUUGAGAAAUUGAUCAUCAGCCUUCAGAUACUUCCCAGAAUUGACUCCUCCAUUUUUGGUUCAAUUGAACAUGUAAUGGCAUCUCUCUCAAUAAUUGGGAUCUAGAUAUACUAUUCCUAUCUAUUUCUUCCCUAAUAUCCACAAGAAAGGCACAUCCACUCCAUCUUCCACAUCAACCCUAACCUCCGCCUCGAUAACAGCAAAUCCCUCUCUCGCUACGAUGUGCCUAUAAACCCUAUCCGGAAAGCAGCUCCAAUACAUCUCCUUACCCAGGAAAUCUCCUAGAAUGGCACCGCUAUCCGCCGUCACACCAAAAUUUACCAACAGAUAACCCCCUUCUUUCAACCACCCAAAGAUUCUCCGCAUCAACAUUUCCUGCUCAUCUGCCGGUAGGUGAAGGACGGAAUAGAGCCCCACCACUGCAUCAAAGGUUGCAGCGGGGUAAUCCAAUUCCAUCAUGUCUCCGAGGAUGAACUCCACCGAACCACUUUCACUCCUUUCAUCCUCGUCACCGGUUGAGCCAAUAGUGACGUGCCUUCGAGCAAGUUGAAUCUGAGCAGUAGAGAUGUCGUUGGCAGUCACCGCGAAUCCGCUACUGACAAGGUACUGUGUGGCGGGAACUCCAGCACCGCAACCUAAUUCCAAAAUGCGGAGCUUGUCUCUGGCGAGGUAUAACGUUUGAAGCUGCGCCUUCAGCUUCCCUAGAAACUCCACACGCGGGGAUGGGGUGCUAGUGGUCCAUUCAAGGUAGCGUGCAGCGAUGUGGUCGUAGCUUGAUUGUACAAGGGAUUUGAUAUUCGCACUGCCAAUGGCAGAACCACCGGUAUUUGUACUGCUGUUCACCGCACUAAUUGCGACAGUGUUGUGGCGAUUAUCAGCGUCCGUACUACUGGCGCUCAAAGGUGUGGGAGUGUCGUUGUUAUGAGUUGCCAUUUGAGAAUAUGUAAACAGUUUCCAAUCUGUUUCCCUUAGAGUUUUUAAGGACCGCACCGGAAGGGGUUUCAGAGUAGCCGUCUCUCCAGAGGUGGUGACGAAGAGCAGGGAAAAUCAACUUAAUGAAUUCUCGUCUCUGUCUUGAAUAUGGCUGGGGAAGGGAAAUAUUGUGCAGCCGCGUCCUCACCCAAGCCCCAGGUUAUGGUUGAUUCAUGGUAUGACGACGUGCAUCUCAACUAAAGUUGAGUCAUAAGCAGGGAUUAGUUAGUGGAUGUCGUUUUGGUUUGCAACUGCAUAAUCGGGAAACGUAUAUAGUUAGCCUACAUUCGGCAAGCUUUCACGGAAAAGUCGGUAGAAAGAGUCCUUAGGGAUAAAAGG
RNAcentral lists this small RNA (1414 nucleotides) under Histoplasma ohiense. Its description in RNAcentral is "hypothetical lncRNA". Lineage: Eukaryota; Fungi; Ascomycota; Eurotiomycetes; Onygenales; Ajellomycetaceae. The record is from RNAcentral.